UACGUAGGGUGCAAGCGUUGUCCGGAAUUAUUGGGCGUAAAGCGUGCGCAGGCGGUUUUGUAAGUCUGACGUGAAAUCCCCGGGCUCAACCUGGGAAUUGCGUUGGAGACUGCAAGGCUGGAGUCUGGCAGAGGGGGGUAGAAUUCCACGUGUAGCAGUGAAAUGCGUAGAGAUGUGGAGGAACACCGAUGGCGAAGGCAGCCCCCUGGGUCAAGACUGACGCUCAUGCACGAAAGCGUGGGGAGCAAACAGG
Molecule: ribosomal RNA, 253 nt
Filed under: uncultured bacterium
Lineage: Bacteria
Description: partial 16S ribosomal RNA
Rfam family: Bacterial small subunit ribosomal RNA
Source: RNAcentral